RNAcentral lists this ribosomal RNA (253 nucleotides) under uncultured bacterium. RNAcentral's name for it is "partial 16S ribosomal RNA". It matches the Rfam family "Bacterial small subunit ribosomal RNA", at positions 524 to 776 of the family's 1533-position model. The record is from RNAcentral.
UACGGAGGGGGCUAGCGUUGUUCGGAAUUACUGGGCGUAAAGCGCGUGUAGGCGGCUUUGUAAGUUAGAGGUGAAAGCCCGGAGCUCAACUCCGGAACUGCCUUUAAGACUGCAUCGCUAGAAUUGUGGAGAGGUGAGUGGAAUUCCGAGUGUAGAGGUGAAAUUCGUAGAUAUUCGGAAGAACACCAGUGGCGAAGGCGACUCACUGGACACAUAUUGACGCUGAGGUGCGAAAGCGUGGGGAGCAAACAGG